UGUUUUAUUUUUAAUUAACCAAGAGUAAUGAUGUAUAAAACAACCCUAGAGUUAGUAAGUAAACAAAGCAAAACCAAAGCAAGAGAAAUGAUAUAUAAAACAACCCCAGAGUUUCCAACUGGCACAGGAGUACGAUACGGAGACGCGAUAUCCCCAAAGCUAUUUACAGCAACACUAGAAGAAAUCUUCUGUCAACUAGACUGGACCAACAAAGGAUUAAAAAUAGAUGGAGAAUAUCUUAAUCUUCAAUGGAACAAAAUAUGCUGGGAAUAACCUUGGAAUAACCAAGAAAGACCAUAAAAGGAAAGAGUGAAUACGACAAAAGACCCAGGUAAUAGACGUCAUCUACAGAAUCAUAUCCUUCAAAUGGCAAUGAGCAGGAUACCUGGCAAUAAGGACGAACAACAGAUUAUGGACCACAAAAAUUACCGCAUGGUACCCACAAGGAAUUAAGAGACCUAGAAGUAGACUGAACCUGAGAUGGGACCAUAAUAUUAGGAAAUUAGCAAGGAUAAAUUGGGUCUACAUAGCCAACAAUAGACAAAGAAUGAUGAUGAGACGAUAAGUUUUAGCUUUUAACCAACUGAAAACUGAAGUAGAUAAAACAUGGAUAAAACCAGGAUAAACCUAUAUAUUCUUAAUCUAAUGAUAAAAUCACGAACAAUAUUCAGUAUUCAUUAUUGUCAAUGUUGGAUUGGUUACUCAUUUGAGAUUUUUAAAAUAAGGAACAUCACAAGAGAAACGAUUGGAUAUAGAUUGGAAAAUUUUACCGAAGAGGAAUUUGAAACCAUGAAUAAGACAAUUCAACAUGCGAAGACAAAAUAUGAAAGAUUCAAAAAAUCAAUUAAAAUAUAAGUUUGCUUUUCCU
Long non-coding RNA from Sitophilus oryzae (rice weevil), 868 nucleotides. RefSeq lists it as uncharacterized. NCBI's taxonomy places the organism in Eukaryota, Metazoa, Arthropoda, Insecta, Coleoptera, Curculionidae. The record is from RefSeq and is a predicted model, not a curated record. The transcript is spliced from 3 exons.